RNAcentral lists this transfer RNA (82 nucleotides) under Brevundimonas sp. RNAcentral describes it as "tRNA-Leu". It matches the Rfam family "tRNA". From Rfam's summary of the family: Transfer RNA (tRNA) molecules are approximately 80 nucleotides in length. Their secondary structure includes four short double-helical elements and three loops (D, anti-codon, and T loops). Lineage: Bacteria; Pseudomonadati; Pseudomonadota; Alphaproteobacteria; Caulobacterales; Caulobacteraceae. The record is from RNAcentral.
GAUGUGGCGGAACUGGUAGACGCACUGGAUUUAGGUUCCAGCGCCGCAAGGCGUGGAGGUUCGAGUCCUCUCAUCCGCACCA